UUCGCCGGCCGUUUAAUUGCGCGCCGGCUUAGACGACGAUUGCAUCGUUCGAUCGUGAUUAACGGACGUUUUGUACGUGCUUCCUGGUACUGUGGAUUAUAUCGCUGCGUCUUUGAUUACAUAUUUCGAAAAGUUUGAAUUUCUAUGUUUCACUAAAUCCUGUCGAAAGUUGGAGAACAUAUGAAACAGACAUAUUGGAGCUCGAGGUCACAUGAUUCUCAGCCGCACGGUAUCAAUUCGGAACUAUUCCAUCGUCCGUACUAUACUCAACUUAUCCGAUGAGAUUUAAUCCGAAUGAGAAAUUUGACAUAUCAAUUUGCAAAUGACUAUUGCAGCAUGAGAUUCAAAAUACGUAUCUACUCCUAUAGAAUGCGUACGGCAUCUAAAUAUAUAUUUCUAAAUUGCCUAUAACUGCUCAUAACUAGAGAUUUUUUCCGAUAGCUAAAAAUAAUCAAACGCCAGCAAUCGAAAACUAAUCCUCUUUCGUCGGAAAGAAACAAAGCUUAAAGCGGUUGUUAACAGUCGAGGAGAUGAGCUCAGCGUUAAUAGGGUAAGCCGAAAUGCAAGAGUCGCGUGACAUUUCGCGAGGUCCCGUGGCUGAGCAUCGGCCAAGAAAAUAUCCCUACUUGCAAGAACGGUGUAUCCGAGCGUGACAGAGGUGACGUUAUAAGACGAAGUACCAGAGAGAAGGAGAAAGAAGUAUGCAGAAGCACUCGUGUCAGAGGCGACCAAUAAAUUUAUCGAGCGGGUGUUGGCAUGGAGACUGCCGGACAGAGCUCGGCUGGAUGGCCCAGAGGGCGAUGAGAGGGCACUCGAGAAUCCUCCAGGAGCCCGUCACGGGGAAAUUGGAGGCAGCCACGGCGGCGGCCACGAGGAGGAACACAGAAAAGAGAGAGAGAGAGAGAGAGAGAAAGAGGAGGUGGAGGGUAAGAGCAUGUACUCUCGGAGGAACGACGGAGACAGAGGUUGAAACGAAGAAGGAGAAGCUCCGAACCGGAGAAGAGGGGGCUGAGGUAUCGAUUUCUCGCGGUGAUCCAAUCAACGAUGGUGCCUUAUCUGACGCCUUUGCCACCCGCUUUAACACAUCGGUGUCUCUGAUAAGAAAAAAUAAAUUUCACCCAAUCGUUCUUCUUCCUAUUUUACUUAUUUAUCGAUUAGGUUAACAAUGUCAUAUUUCGGGGAAGGUAUUCGUUUUUCAAAUUAGAAAUUAUUUAUACACCUAGUCAGAGACGCGACGAAAUCAAUACACGUUGGCGAAGCUGCAAGAUGCAGCCAAUAUUUAACGAGCCAACCAGUCAAUCGCUGGCUUUCUUUAACCCACGGUGAUCUUUAAUUCAUUAACGACAUUAAUUAUUCAUCGCCGAUAACGACGACGGAAUCGCUGAUCGCCAUCCCUUCUCGAUUACAAGCAGAGCAGAUCUCGUCGUGUGCCACGUCUGCGAGAAGUUCCAACUGGAAAGACGGAUCCUUUGUUAUUUUCCCGGCUUCUCCUGGAUAAAUCGGUAUAGCCGUGUCGGUACAAUUGUAACGAUGUUGGAAGGGGAACGAAACGGAGCGUUUUCACGUGGACGCUCGAUGUGUACGGACUGGCUAAUCCCUCUGACAUUGUUCCAAAACAAUACGAUAUCCGCCCCUAAUUUGUACCGCCUUCCAGCGGCCGCUUCUCUUUCGCGUUGUACGUUGAACCGACCGGCUGACAGAGUCAAUAUUUUCGCUUUCUAGUCCUCCACGAAGGAGACGGUAUAUCGGCGGAACAUUGGCGGAACAUUGGCGGACCGCGAAGAAGAGAAGAAAAACGCGGAUUUCUGAAUAGCUGGCUCCGACGAUGCUCGCACGGCCUGCUUGCUCAGCCGUUUCGGAUUAAGUCGCGUCUCGCGUGCACGUGGAACUUGCCUCUUCUGGAACAUUUCUUCUUUGAUAUCUUCUUGAAAGGAUCAGUAUCGUUAAUUAUGUGCAAUACUUCUUGAUAAAAUUAUUAUAAAUAUUUGUAAAACACUUGGUGUAACAUUGUAACAGUUUCGUAUCAUUUCAAGCGUAUUCUCCAGGAGAGUAUUGUUUCCGAAGAGACAGGGUGUACCGCGAGAAACAAGCAAUGAAAAUCGCAUUGACGAUGAAAGUAGCAGAGAGGAGCCACAGUGAGAGUGUUUGAAUCGCACUCGCGGGACCUAUGUCGGUCCAACUGGUUCUACGUUUGAUUUCAGGGAGGCAAGAGGGAGUCGGGGUAAAAAACGAGAAGGCGAAAGAGAGAGAGAGAGGGAGAGAGGAAACGAAAGCAGAGGAGCGAAAGAGUAGUGCGCUCGGCGUUGUAGGACUCUCCGCUGGAGAGCUCUCCCUCUCUCUCGCCCGCUUAAAGCCCUAUCCACUACUCAUUUAUCAAAUAAAUCAACACAGCUACUUGUGCACCUGUGAAGAGAUCCAGCCGCUACCCGAGCCGUCCAAAAGCCCGUUUCAAUCCGUAAAUCGAUUUCUUCACUUCACCGUGUAAGGCGUAAGGAGUUGGCUUUAAGAAAUCGAUAGCGAGAUCUGAUUUGAUAACAUCGAGCAAAGGUAAAGCCGAAAAGACGGAAGAAGAAUGCGAAUACAAGGGGGUAAGGUAACAGGAGAGCCGAAGGGAAAGAAAGAGAGGAGAAGGGCAUAAUCAAAGAGCUUCGAAAAAUCAGGAUGCACUUAGAAGCACGUACUCGGCCUAUAGAGAGGCAUUCAGUUAUACUGGUGAGUUUGGAGUCAAAGCAAGGACCCUUGCCUCAGCUGGCGCAUUACCUCCGCCGCUCUCGCGUCCUCUAUGGCCGCGUUUACAUCCACGCUACCUUUUCCUCCGGAAGCCACAGCUACCGUAUUUACGAUCAUAAGAGACAGCAUCGACUCGCCUCCUAAUCGUCGAGUCGAGUGCUGUCUCGAUUUUUGGAUGAUCUUUAAACCAUUUCAUAGUUUCAGAUUGGUAUUUCUGUGAUUGUCCUCGUGAUGGGUCCACAUUGAUUUUAUUAUUUCGUUAGAAGGCAGAGGAGAACAUAAGUUUCAUUUUUGAUAUAGAGACGCAUUAAAUGCAAUGAAAUUAAAUGCAAAGAAUCGAUAGAGGAAAUAUUACUGAAAAAUAAUAAAAUAGAUAUGGUACGACUGAAGAAUUAAAACUUCGUAACUAGUAGUGAAUAAAUGAAACAUGAAACAAAAUAAAAAAAGACUUUGUUGAUAUUUCUACGUGAUAGGAAAUUAGAGGAUUGACCAGAAAAUGAUUCACAUUCAGAAACUUUAGUUCGAUUGCAUGCGACACGAGAUCAAACUCAAUCCCAUGAACUCAAAUACCGUUCACCAAGCAUCUAACCGCAAGUCGUUUAAAGGUCCUCGAAUCUUUUACUAGACGUAUCGGAAGACCAUUAAGGUAACGCUCGUGAACAGAGACAGCAGAAGAAAAAACAAUCACGCCCCUCGUGCCGUCGAAAAGUCGUCGAGAGAAGAGUCUGUUCCCGCUCGAGGAUCGUGAUUAGGUGAUAUCGAAUCCUACACACUUGCUCGACGCGCGAGUAUACCGAGGAGGUUCCAGGAGAACGAGGAGACAAGCAGAAAAGAAAAAGAAAGAAUAGAGAGAGAGGGAGGAGGGGGACAGAGAGAGAGAGAGAGAGAGAGAGAGAGAAAGCUGUGGCGAGGGAGGAAGCACACGAGUGCACAGGAGGUCGCGAGCUGAAGAGUUGCGGUAGAAACGCGGUGGAUCCUGAAAAGCGAGAAGAGCGCUGAAAAGGUGGCUACUCGGCUUUGUAACGGAGUUAAGGAGACGAGAAAGAAGACGAACAGGGAGAGGAAGAGGAAGAGGUAUAAACGUCGCAAGCGCAGAAACGUCACGAGAGGAAGUUAGGAAAGGAACGGGAGGAAGAAAGGAACGAAAAGAAGAGGGAAGAAGACCUAAACUGGUAGAAAAAAAGAGAGGAAAACAGUGCGUCGCGAAGAAGAGGAAGAGGAAGAGGAUGGUCCUUGUGCAGCGAGGACCCCAGGAUACCGGCAAGGAGUAUCCUAGAACUGUCGAGGAUGCUUCACUCCCAUCGUCCUCUUCCUCGUGGCCCCCUUUGCGUCCCGUAUCUCUCCUCUUUUCCUCCGCCUGUCUUCCUUCCGUACUCCUCUCUCUCCUCCUUGUAAAUACGCCCCUCCUGAGACCCAUCAGGAUCUCUACUCUUGCAAAGAGAAGCGUCGUCUCCUUCAAAUGCUACACACUGUGAGGGAUAUCAUCCCCUUCUUUCGUUCCCUUCCUCUCCUUUCUUUUUCUCCCUUUUUCCUUCCCAUCUCGAUCUUUCCUCCACUUUCUUUAUUUCUUUUAUUUUAUUUUAUUUCCCUUUCUCUGUACUUUGAAUUUACUUCUUCUACCCCUCGUACCCUAUCGUAAGGCAACGCGCGAACCAUCCGUGUGUCUCCGUCGCCUCCGAUCUCGGCAACCGCGUUAUGCGCCCCGAGACUUUCGUGCAGGUUGCGAAAUCAAGGACCCUUCGAGAGCUCUGGAGUAGGUGGAGCAGAGUGUGGCCGUGCGAGAACACGCCAGGUUUCCCAACGAAGGUGUCGUUUGAAACGACGAACCUCCAUUCUGUUUAUAGACCUCUCUCCGAUGGAGACAUCAAGACUAGAUCUCAAAUUUUGUAGUAACGUAAUGACUGAAUUUUUGUACCAUCGUUUUAAGAUUAAUUGACAGAGACGCAAGAUUGUCCCAACACGGAGAACCGAGGAAAUGUAGUUUCAUUGAGCAAACAGCGAAGAAUAUCCAAAUUUUCGACGGAACCGCGAAAUUCGACGCGGUGGUCCGAGGAAAUUCCAGAGAAGCCAGUUGAAGAGGAUUCCACGGUCAGAUCUGGACGGUCAGCACGGUCGCGAGUCCUCGAAACGUCGGUGAAAUCGGAUCCUUCGGGAGUGGCUGGUAGAUGGGUCAACAAGUCGACACGUUCAGAAACGAGAUCGUUCCCUAACCGAGAAGAACACGGCCACCGUACGUUCCGAAACCUGAUACGUUCCGCAGGAAUCAAAACGUGUCAUGGAUCCGGCCACUUAAGCCUGGAGAACCUUUUACACUUCCGAUCCGAAAUAAAAAGGAAGAAAGGGACCCACUUCAAAAGCGCCUGCAAUUCUUAUUCUUCCUUCGAUCUAUUGACCGUCUACAAUCUACUAGACCAUGAUCUAUUGAUUUCUACAGAGAUGAUGUGUUUACACCUGUAUAUUACAAGGUUUGCAUAAAAGUGAAAGUCUUAAAGCAAUUUGAUAACGAAAGUUGCAACACCUACUUGAUAAAAUUAAUUUUCACCGAACAAGGAAACACCAGCACUUGGAUGAUAUACAAAUUGAUUAAUAUCGUACAAAUUCAAAUAAUAUGUUGGUUGCAUACAGGAUGAAAUUUGGAAAAGAAUGAUCAUCGAGAUUAUACUUUAAAAGAUCUUCGGUGACAAUGACAACGAAUAGGAAUUACCGCAUUAAAGAUUUUUAAAAAGAGGUUGGGGAAUCCUCUAGAAAACCGCACAAUGUCUAAAAAACCGGUCAAGGCGCCUGCUAAAAUCCGAUUCGACGGAUGAUCUUCGCCGAUGUCUACAGCAAGGUACAAUAGAAGAAAUCCAAUAGAAAAGACAGAGAAGGGUAGUUUCUCUGUUCCUUCGGAUUUAGAAUCCGUUGUUCGCCGCGUUCGCGCGGAAAUGAGGUGGAAAACCGCACCCUCGGGACCGACUCACCUUUUCUUUACGUUCACGAGGAUACUAACCGGGGAUUUCACCGACGCCGCGGUUUCUUGAUAUUACAAACGCGCGUAGAGCGGGUUCUCGAGGCAACCGAGCGCGAGGAAACGGUGCCAAGGUAAAAAACGAAAGAAAGAGAGGAGAAGAGAAAGAGGAACGAUGAAAAGCCCCGAUUCCGGGACAGAGAAAAAUAUCGGCGAUUCGGCAGGCAAGGGAAAGGCGGGAGAGAAAUGCGGAAAACAUUUUCAUUCGUCGAAUUCUCAACGUUGCAAACACGCCACGAUUGAUUUUCGUUUCUGUCGGUUAAUCGCGCGACCUAGAAACGCAAAUGUAAUUUACAUGGCGUGAAGAAAUGGAAUAAGUAAAAAUGAGAGACGAAUGGAGAUGCAACAAUGACAGUUGAACAGUCGCGAAAGCGUCUUUCGAGGAUCUUUAAACGACGAUGAAGAGAAUUGAACCUUUUAUAAACUAGAAUCAAGGCGUUCAUUAUGUAAACUGCGUUCUAUAUAAAAAAAACGAAAGCGGGCGAAGUGAACGUCUAAAAAACACUACUUAAUUAUAUAACACAGCAAAGAAAGAGCAGUUAAAAACAAUUACAAAAAAAUAUAUAUAUGGAAAAACAUUUAAAACGAAAACACUAGAAACUAAAUGAAAAAAGCAAUAAAAAGAGGAUAUGAAAAAGCAAAGAAUGAAAGCAAAAUCACCGUAGAAAGAAGGGUAUUACGAAGCGUGUUUACACAUAUAUUCAGGGAGUCGUCCAGCCUCCCCCCCCCCUCUCUCUCUCUCUCUGUGCGUGCACAUCCGUCGUAUAUAAUCGUGCGUAUGCAGGGAGGCAACAAGAACUCGUCGUCAUUUCUGAAUUAAUCUCAUUCGACUGCCCCCUUUAUGCUCUCCUUCGCAUCCUGCGAGGCGAAAGGCUCGUAGCCGCUUCGUGGCCUCAAGGUUAAUUGGAACGAGAGCUAGAAAAGGAAAAGGAUCGAAUAGAAAUCCCACGGGGAAGGUCACGCAAAUUCUCUUACCGAAUAGUGUCACUUAAACGCACGUUCGACCGAUGCACUUUCACUUCAAGGGUCAAAGUACAAGGUUGCUCCCUUUUUCAAAACUUAAACAGCUUGUGCUCUAUGGCUGACGACUGCUUUCAGAUCUCGGAUAUACAUAAGUUCGUAGAUAUAGGUACGAGUAAUUUACGAUUUAGUACUAGAUCUAGGAUCUAGAAGUUACUACUGGGUAUUAAUGGGAGGGUUAUUAAGUAUCUAUCGUUCGUUAUUAAUAUGAUUUUAUUAGUUUUAGGACGCAACGUAAAAACUACGAAAGAGAAAUUGGACAUUAUGAAUCCUAAGUGGAAGAAAAACUUAACUUUGAUGAAAAAAUUAAGGAAAAAAAGGUAAAGAUUUUCUUCUCUAAAACUACAUGCAUUCAAGUUAUUUCUGAGAGUAAAGAGAAGAAAAUUAGAAGUUAGUGCACAGGUGUAUCGAUGAUGGUCCCUCGACAAAACAACGUAUCUUUUCUUUGGCUGGCCGGAGAACGUAGGAUAUGCGCAUCAUUUACUUUUAUUAUGUGAAAGAGGCUCCUCCAUUCAGGUGAUCCGCUGAGAUCCAAAAAAGAAAGGAAAAUUCUCUCGCGGCCGUUCUUUUUCUUGCGAACGAUAGAGGACCUUCGUCCCCGGUUAGCUCAUGGGAACGUAAUACGAGCAGACGUGUCGGUCCUCGACUCUUCAAUUAGCCCCGGAAGUCAACGUAACGAGAAUUUCAGGAAAAAUAGAUCUAACACUGCGAAAAUAUCUUUUCCUCUUUCUUUCGCUCUAGAUUCAGUUGCUUUCUGUCGUGGUAAAAUUAUUUACUAUAGUACCACGAGCCUCAGAUUUUUUAGAUAUUUUUUACAAAUAUGUAUCGUAAUAGAAAUUAAGAAACAAUGCUACAUAUUACAAAAGAAUAUUCUAAAUAUAUUCAGAAUUUCAGAUAUUGUAAGAUACAAUAACUGGAAAGAAAAAUAUUCUACCUUGUACGCAAUUACGCUAGGAAUUGCAAAAGUCAGAGAAAGCAAUGCAACAGAGAGCAUUGCAGUGUCAGCAUGAAAUAUUAAGUAGUAUCGGACAGUUACGAAUCGGACACUUCCCCGAUUAAACAGGCAACUGAUGGUCCGAUAAUAUCGAUCAUAUAAACGAAUAUGGGGUCGGUUUGGCUUUAAGUAAAAGACCAAACGAAUCGACCCCUGCCUCCUCCAUCUCGUAGUAACUAUAGAGAGUCGAGGGCAGCCUUUCUAUUAGCCACUAGAAAUCGCACGUACCCUUCACAGGAACAAAUCGAAACGGUACCAUAGCUGCUGGCCCUCCUGGCUCUAAUAGAGUUUCACGCUCGCCGAGAGAAUUGCCUCGAGUCAGACGAUCCUGGUGGACCAAAGCUGGUCAAGCGAAGAAUUGAUAAUCAAAGUGAUCCCAAACGCCCCUACUGUGUCCCUUAACGAUUUUGAUUGCUCCGGUUGCAUCGAAGGAUGAGGAAAUUUUUUGCUUGAUCUCUGAUGCGUAUAAAGAUAUAUAAAAAUUGAUAAUUUUCAAUAUAAUUAUGUGAAUUUCUUUAUUAAAUAUAUUCGAAUAGGAUAAUUUAGAAUUUCCUUAAAAAUCGUCGACGUUAAAAAUAGCCAAUUAAAUAUUAAAAAUAGCUUGUUAAAUACUAAGUAUCAGCAAUCUAUCCAACAGUCCCUAUAAAUUAUCCUCGACGACCGCCGAUAUCUUCGCCACAAAGGAAAAACACUCGCUCUUAUCGUUCCCAAUUUUACCCAAGAAACCACGUACUUCUCCACGUACCUACUGGAAUUUUCACCCCAGGGAUCUCUGCGCGGACAUCCGUGCUUUUCGAACUCUUGCCUCGCGGCAACAAGAGGAUUUCUCUCAUUGCUAAUAUUUUUUUUUUUUUUUUUUUUUUUAAGUAUUUCAGUGUCAGCGAGCGAGGAAGAGUCGCGGUAAAGGACCUGCCCCCUUUCACUUGCCCUCCCCUCUCAUCCGUUAGCAAAGGUAGGAAACAAGAAAAAAAGGAAAGAAUGAACGAAGAGCGAGGAGGAAUAACCGAGACAGAGGGAGGGUAGAGCAAAGAAGGAGCAGAAAAGGGAAAAAGAAAUCUGUAUCUUUGACGAAACCGAAGAAGACUCGUCGUACGUGUCCUUAAGCGACUGCCAGGCUUCCACGCUAAUGAGGCGCGGCGUAAUUAGUGAGACUGUCUACUGGCUGGACCCUUGACGAGAGGGCGGAUCCCUCUCGACGUCGAGUCGCUCUCUCAUCCCACCCCUCCGGUUCGCCACUCCACGCAUCCUCAACCCGUUUCACGAUUUCUUACCGGUGGUGAAGAAGGAGCCGCGGCUCGCUGACACCUUGCGGAUAUUCACGACUUUUCACCCGUGCUCCUCCGCGAGGUAAAAAAUAGCGCGAUUAAAUCUACCACUCUAGCCGGACUUAAUUCGCUUUUCUUCUGGCCUCACGCAUCGUGCACGCUUCGACCAUGAAAUCUUCUCAUUUUUUCUUCGUUAUUCUUUUAUAAUUUCAGGCGAGAUCGGCGGCUGCAGAUUGCUGUAAACAUGCUGAAAAGCUUAUUUAGAGCUAACUGGACGUGAAAUACUAAGAAUUGUUCGAUUUUGAAAACUUGACGCCUUCGCAACUCAACGCGUGACUCGAUGUUUUAAGGCUCUUGUAAAUGAUCGAAAGUUGGAGAGAUGGGGCAAAAUUGAGUCAACAAGAUAAUUGCAGCUUAUUAUCGAAAUUACCAUAGAAAGCCAAAUUCGCAAGAAAUCUUAUUAAACUGGAUAAGAGAUAAUUUAUUGGACGUAUAAAUCUAGAGCGAGACGAGGAGAAAAUUACCUACGAUUUCUCCGAUAACAGGAAAACUGAGAAAUAAGAAAAAACUAAAUGAACUUGGACGAUCUUACAGAGAGAUACGGUGUAGGUUGUCCAUGCGAUUGCGAAGGGGGUGGGUUUUCGAAGGCGGGAAGGCCGAUUUAGAGCACAAUGCGGUUCAAUGCCGAGGAAAUUAGCCACGGCGCUGCCAGUGACGCCCGUCAGUCCCACACCAUGGAAAACAGAGACCGUAUCUGUCCCUGUUGCCGGGCUAUGGGAGCACGAGCGUAUCGUUAUCCCCGUGGUUCGUACAAAUUUUCAAUCAACCACAUACUCGACUCCACUCAGAAUUCUUUGCUAAAUUAGAGAAACUCUUGUGAAAAGAAUUUUCAAUAUUAUUUUUAAUCGAGGAGCUUAAUAAUUAAAAUCCAUCGUCGCGUGUAUUCAAA
Bombus pyrosoma is the source of this 9965-nucleotide long non-coding RNA. RefSeq lists it as uncharacterized. NCBI's taxonomy places the organism in Eukaryota, Metazoa, Arthropoda, Insecta, Hymenoptera, Apidae. The record is from RefSeq and is a predicted model, not a curated record. The transcript is spliced from 5 exons.